UGCGUAGGCGGAUAUAUAAGUCAGUGGUGAAAUCCUGCGGCUCAACCGUAGAACUGCCAUUGAUACUGAUAUUCUUGAAUGUAGUUGAGGUAGGCGGAAUGUGUAAUGUAGCGGUGAAAUGCUUAGAUAUUACACAGAACACCGAUUGCGAAGGCAGCUUACUAAACUAUGAUUGACGCUGAGGCACGAAAGCGUGGGGAGCGAACAGGAUUAGAUACCCUGGUAGUCC
RNAcentral lists this ribosomal RNA (229 nucleotides) under uncultured bacterium. RNAcentral's name for it is "partial 16S ribosomal RNA". It matches the Rfam family "Bacterial small subunit ribosomal RNA", at positions 568 to 796 of the family's 1533-position model. The record is from RNAcentral.